Molecule: ribosomal RNA, 370 nt
Filed under: uncultured organism
Description: bacterial SSU rRNA
Rfam family: Bacterial small subunit ribosomal RNA
Source: RNAcentral
CGUAGGGUGCGAGCGUUAAUCGGAAUUACUGGGCGUAAAGCGUGCGCAGGCGGGCGCUUAAGCCAGACGUGAAAUCCCCGAGCUUAACUUGGGAAUGGCGUUUGGGACUGGGUGCCUUGAGUGCGGCAGAGGGGGGUGGAAUUCCACGUGUAGCAGUGAAAUGCGUAGAGAUGUGGAGGAACACCGAUGGCGAAGGCAGCCCCCUGGGCCGACACUGACGCUCAGGCACGAAAGCGUGGGGAGCAAACAGGAUUAGAUACCCUGGUAGUCCACGCCCUAAACGAUGCGGACUAGUCGUUGGGGGAGCAAUCCCUUAGUGACGCAGCUAACGCGUGAAGUCCGCCGCCUGGGGAGUACGGUCGCAAGAUUA